This 1221-nucleotide long non-coding RNA is filed under the name Equus caballus (horse). RNAcentral's name for it is "lncRNA (ENSECAG00000050432.1)". Lineage: Eukaryota; Metazoa; Chordata; Mammalia; Perissodactyla; Equidae. The record is from RNAcentral.
GGGACUCCUCGUGGUGUCUUGGAAAAGGGGAAACUUCAUCACCUUAAGUUGUUUGUGGAACAAGGCAAAGUAAAUAUAAUUUUAAUUCAACUCUCAAGGCGUUCUACAGACUUCACUGCUGGAAAUUCCAGAAUUGGUAGCUAUUUUAAAUGCCUUUUCUACAGAUGGAGAAACAGAAGCUUAGGAAGUAAAAUUAAGAAACCUGACCAUGUGAUACGGGAAGAUGAAAAAGAAAAUCCAGGAAUCUUCUGUGCAAACCAGCAACACCAAACUUGACAAAAGCCCUCUCUGUAUUCUUUUUACAGAAAUCUAAGCAGGCUAGGUCAGGAGGAGUUAUUCAGAAUGUGGCACAAAACAGACAAAAUCAAAAGGAGUUAAGCAACACAGGAGAGUGGAAGGGCCUAAUGUAGGUCUAACCAGAGCUAUAGAAGAAGAGGAAAGAGAAAAAAGGGGUAGAGGCUAUAUUUCAAGAGAUAGGGCUCAGGACUUACCUGAACUGAUAAGCGACAAUCAAAAGAUUAAAGAAGCUCAAAGAUCUCAAUCAAGAUAAAUUUUAAAAAUCCCCCUCAGACACAUUAUAGUGAAACUACGAAUCAACAAUAGCGAAGUGUUAAAAGCAGCCAGAGAAAAAUGGGUUGCAUUCCAAGGAAAGAGAUUAACAGCCGAGCUCGACAGUGGAAGCCAGAAGACAGUGCAACAUCCUAAAAGGACAAUGUCCUCAAAGGAAAUCACUGCCAACAUCCCACUAAAAAUAUUUUUCAAGAAUGAGGAUAAAUUAAAGACGUUUUCAGAUCACCAAACACUGAAAGUUUGCCACUAGCAUCCCUUCACCAAAGGAAAGCCUACGAGAUGAAGGAAUGAAGAGCAAUCAAGUGGUGAGUGUGUGUGGGCAAACUGAGCGAACUGACUGUGUGAAACGACGAUGAUGAUGGCUUCUGGAUUUAAACUGGCAGUAUUUAAAAUCUACAAGUAGAGCGUAAGUCAAGAGCAAGGUAAAUGGAAUUGCAAGUGUUCCAAGGCACCUGAAUUGUCAGGAGCUUAAACCUAUUGAGCCAUUUUAGACUUUGGUAAGUGUGUAUGUUGAACUCAGAGGAAUAGGAACAAGGUGUGUUACUUUCGACCUAAUGGGAAAAGGUUAAAAUUUUUCCAAAGAAGGCCAAAAAUGGGAGAAAAUGAAACAAGAGGACAAAUAGCUAAAAAAAAAAAUAAGAUGAACGAUAC